AUUAGCUCAGCGGUAGAGUAGUCGGCUGUUAACCGAUUGGUCGUAGGUUCGAAUCCUACAU
RNAcentral lists this transfer RNA (61 nucleotides) under Campylobacter coli. Its description in RNAcentral is "tRNA-Asn". It matches the Rfam family "tRNA", at positions 6 to 65 of the family's 71-position model. From Rfam's summary of the family: Transfer RNA (tRNA) molecules are approximately 80 nucleotides in length. The record is from RNAcentral. RNAcentral also lists the same sequence under 1 other name. Lineage: Bacteria; Pseudomonadati; Campylobacterota; Epsilonproteobacteria; Campylobacterales; Campylobacteraceae.